Molecule: ribosomal RNA, 260 nt
Filed under: uncultured archaeon
Lineage: Archaea
Description: partial 16S ribosomal RNA
Rfam family: Archaeal small subunit ribosomal RNA
Source: RNAcentral
CAGCCGUAAACUAUGCUCGCUAGGUGUCAGGCAUGGCGCGACCGUGUCUGGUGCCGCAGGGAAGCCGUGAAGCGAGCCACCUGGGAAGUACGGCCGCAAGGCUGAAACUUAAAGGAAUUGGCGGGGAGCACAACAACGGGUGGAGCCUGCGGUUUAAUUGGACUCAACGCCGGAAAUCUCACCGGAUAAGACAGCAGAAUGAUUGCCGGGCUGAAGACUCUGCAUGACUAGCUGAGAGGAGGUGCAUGGCGUAGACGUCU